RNAcentral lists this non-coding RNA (46 nucleotides) under Schistosoma mattheei. Lineage: Eukaryota; Metazoa; Platyhelminthes; Trematoda; Strigeidida; Schistosomatidae. The record is from RNAcentral.
AUCCAGCUGAUGAGUCCCAAAAUGGACGGGAACGCACGUCCUGGAU